Molecule: ribosomal RNA, 114 nt
Filed under: Larimichthys crocea (large yellow croaker)
Lineage: Eukaryota; Metazoa; Chordata; Actinopteri; Sciaenidae
Source: RNAcentral
GCUUACGGCCAUACCACCCUGAAUGCGCCGAUCUCGUCUGAUCUCGGAGCUAAGCAGGGUCAGGCCUGGUUAGUACUUGGAUGGGGCCGCCUGGAAUACCAGGUGCUGUAAGCU